Molecule: ribosomal RNA, 716 nt
Filed under: Alteromonas sp. 7IX/A01/156
Lineage: Bacteria; Pseudomonadati; Pseudomonadota; Gammaproteobacteria; Alteromonadales; Alteromonadaceae
Description: bacterial SSU rRNA
Rfam family: Bacterial small subunit ribosomal RNA
Source: RNAcentral
GAAGUAAUGCUUGGGAACUUGCCUUUGCGAGGGGGAUAACAGUUGGAAACGACUGCUAAUACCGCAUAANGUCUACGGACCAAACGGGGCUUAGGCUCCGGCGCAAAGAGAGGCCCAAGUGAGAUUAGCUAGUUGGUAAGGUAAAGGCUUACCAAGGCAACGAUCUCUAGCUGUUCUGAGAGGAAGAUCAGCCACACUGGAACUGAGACACGGUCCAGACUCCUACGGGAGGCAGCAGUGGGGAAUAUUGCACAAUGGGGGAAACCCUGAUGCAGCCAUGCCGCGUGUGUGAAGAAGGCCUUCGGGUUGUAAAGCACUUUCAGUUGUGAGGAAAAGUUAGUAGUUAAUACCUGCUAGCCGUGACGUUAACAACAGAAGAAGCACCGGCUAACUCCGUGCCAGCAGCCGCGGUAAUACGGAGGGUGCGAGCGUUAAUCGGAAUUACUGGGCGUAAAGCGCACGCAGGCGGUUUGUUAAGCUAGAUGUGAAAGCCCCGGGCUCAACCUGGGAUGGUCAUUUAGAACUGGCAGACUAGAGUCUUGGAGAGGGGAGUGGAAUUCCAGGUGUAGCGGUGAAAUGCGUAGAUAUCUGGAGGAACAUCAGUGGCGAAGCGACUCCCUGGCCAAAAGACUGACGCUCAUGUGCGAAAGUGUGGUUAGCGAACAGGAUUAGAUACCCUGGUAGUCCACACCGUAAACCCUUUCUACUAGCUUGUU